UUUCCGUAGGUGAACCUGUGGAAGGAUCAUUACCGAGUUAGGGUUUGCUCUUCGGAGUGCCCGAUCUCCCAACCCUUUGUCUAUGAUACCACAGUUGCUUCGGCGGACCGAGGGGUCAUACCCUCGCCUGGUCUAUGGCCGGGAGCGCGUCCGUCGAUGGCCCCUAUCUAAACUUUUGAACCCAAAACCUGUCGUCUGAAAACUUUGAUAACUAAAUCAAAAAACAAAACUUUCAACAACGGAUCUCUUGGUUCUGGCAUCGAUGAAGAACGCAGC
This 276-nucleotide unclassified non-coding RNA is filed under the name uncultured fungus. Its description in RNAcentral is "sequence contains ITS1, 5.8S rRNA gene". The stretch from base 228 to 276 matches the Rfam family "5.8S ribosomal RNA", at positions 1 to 49 of the family's 154-position model. The record is from RNAcentral. Lineage: Eukaryota; Fungi.